GCAAACUUGGUCAUUUAGAGGAAGUAAAAGUCGUAACAAGGUCCCCGUAGGUGAACCUUCGGGGGGAUCAUUACCGAGCGUCGCGGGCCUCUUCGGACCGCGUCCUCCCCACCCCUUGCUCGAAACCCCAACCUUGCUUCGGCCGCUCCGGCGGCCGGAAUUUUCAACCCUGGAAACGGUGUAUCCGAGCGGCGAGAGCUGAACUCAGUACAACCUGCAACGAUGGAUCUCUUGGUUCCGGCAUCGAUGAAGAACGCAGC
Molecule: unclassified non-coding RNA, 260 nt
Filed under: uncultured fungus
Lineage: Eukaryota; Fungi
Description: partial contains small subunit ribosomal RNA, internal transcribed spacer 1, and 5.8S ribosomal RNA
Rfam family: Eukaryotic small subunit ribosomal RNA (bases 1-73)
Source: RNAcentral